RNAcentral lists this ribosomal RNA (253 nucleotides) under uncultured bacterium. Its description in RNAcentral is "partial 16S ribosomal RNA". It matches the Rfam family "Bacterial small subunit ribosomal RNA", at positions 524 to 776 of the family's 1533-position model. The record is from RNAcentral.
UACGUAGGGUGCUAGCGUUGUUCGGAAUCAUUGGGCGUAAAGCGCGUGUAGGCGGUCUAGUAAGUCGAGUGUGAAAUCCCUGGGCUUAACCUGGGAAUGGCAUACGUGACUGGUUCACUAGAAUAUGGCAGAGGGAGGUAGAAUUCCACAUGUAGCAGUGAAAUGCGUAGAUAUGUGGAGGAACACCGAUGGCGAAGGCAGCCUCCUGGGUCAAUAUUGACGCUCAUGCACGAAAGCGUGGGGAGCAAACAGG